GGAAGAUGACAUUGCUCCCCAGCUCCAGCUCCAUGCAGGCCAUACUGGUGAGUAUAAAGCCAAUUUAUGAAGAAAACCGGGCUACUUCCAAAUAAAUAGUCUUUAUAUUUUGUAUCUGGAUAACCAGAGAUUUCUGUCAGCUUCCAUAAAAAAACAUCCAGAAUAAGACUUGUAAAACAUAAGAACAAAAUUUCUCAAGGAAUAAAAGGUUUUUCACCAGUGUAAUUGAAUACAAUACAGAAUCCUCCUAUAUGUAAGCCCACUGAGACCAUUCUGUGUGGUGAAGAACUGAGUCUGGAAAGUCUCUUGACAAACUUGUGACAAUACUGCCAUAAGAGAUGAGGCCUGAGAAGUUGUUUGGGGUCUGGAUGCAGGCCCUGCCUGGGAACCUUCAAUUGGAAGCAGCAAUCCAGGUCUAGGAUAUACUAAGUUUUAACUGCCUUAGAAUCAAAUUCAGAGAAUUCUGAUCCAGGAAUCUCCUGAAUAACAGGUUUUUAGAAGACUAUUAACAACAUUCACUGGGGGUGUGGGGUGGGGAGUUAGAGAAGGCAACUGGCGACUGCCUCUUGGGAGUCAGUGACUGUCAUUUGCAGGGAUCUAAUCAGGAAGGACUUUCAGGUACUAGAGAUGGCCUAUUCGUAAUAUUUUAGAUAUAGACAAGUGUUAGAAGUGGAGGAAAGAAAUAUUUUUAGAAGGAAAAAAGGGAAGAAAAAUCUUAAAAGAUAUAAACAUUCAUAGUACAAUAACAAUAUUUGAAAUCUCACCUGUAGCAGGAAGUAUGAUGAGGAGAUUACAGAGAACUUUUGGUUUAGCUUGUUGCUGUAUACAGGGAAUGAAGUGGCAAAAUAUGGGCUGGAGUUGUAGCUCAGUGGUAGAGCGCUUGCCUAGUAUGUGUGAGGCACUGGGUUCAAUCCUCAGCAUCACAUAAAAAUAAAUAAAUAAAGGUAUUGUGUCCAUCUAUAACCAAAAAAAGAAGAAGAAGAAGUGGCCAAAUAUGGCAAAGUGAGAUCAUUGCUCCCUACUGAGUCCUACUGAACUGUGAGGUAUUGUACUGAGUGUUCCCUCCUGUCUUCUUGCUGGAAAGCAGGAUUUGAUGGAUUUUGUUUCAAAGAAAUAGCAUCAUUGGCAGCCUGUACUCCUUCAAGAUGUAGCAAAUGUGCUGUUAUGCAGGUACAGUACUUUUGUAACUAAUUUAGGUGUCUGUGGUUAUAUUCUAGCCAGUUAACU
Molecule: long non-coding RNA, 1227 nt
Filed under: Marmota monax (woodchuck)
Lineage: Eukaryota; Metazoa; Chordata; Mammalia; Rodentia; Sciuridae
Rfam family: tRNA (bases 855-926)
Source: RNAcentral